AAUUAUGUAUGCAUGUUUUAAAGGCAGUAAAGCAGCCACCGGUAGUUAAUGCAACAUUAAGUCAGAGAUUUUAAAUCCGCAGUAAAUUUUGAGUUAGAGUAUUUAAAUCAACCAUCCUCCUUUCCCUCAGCCCUGGUCCAUGUGGGUGAGAAACGGUCCUUCUAUAAAAUGACCAUGUGGCACUUGUCCAAUGACACAGAAAAGUUAUAUUGAGAUUUUCAGAGUUUCAAAUCUUAACUGUAAAAUAAAGAACCUAAAGGCUUAUAACUACAUUUGGCAAGAGUCUGGAGGAGCAGGCAAAUCUGAUCAGUGACUUCUGCCCACAGCAUAACUUGUGACUGUAGAGUUUCUAGCCGGCUCUCUUCCUUUUGCCAUCUUUAUUUUUCUGCCUUCAUUUCUUCCUUUCCUUAUCAACUUUUGCAUCAGUGAGAUGGUUGCUGUGGCUGCCUAUAUGGAGACGAUGCUAAUCUAAUCACACCUAACAUAAUUAAACCUCAUGUUAAGGUUUAAUAAAAAGGG
RNAcentral lists this long non-coding RNA (519 nucleotides) under Bos taurus (domestic cattle). RNAcentral's name for it is "long non-coding RNA NONBTAT017012". Lineage: Eukaryota; Metazoa; Chordata; Mammalia; Artiodactyla; Bovidae. The record is from RNAcentral.